UAUAUAUAAGUAUUGCUACUGUGUAUAAUAUGUUAUCCAGUGAAAGUGCUGUUCUUUAUCAUGUUUUGUGGGUGCUGAGAACGUGUUAUAUUCUUUAUCAUGUUUUGUGGGUGCUGGUGGGAAACUCAUCAUUUCGGUGGGUGCUACCAUACAUUGAACCUGCACUCCCAAAGAAGUAACCCAGCCAGAUGUCUAAGAAUGAGCCUCCCAGUACAAUUGUUGUCACCCAAAUGAAAUUUCAUCACAUUCCUAGUUUAGUUUCACCCAGAAUUCAAAGGAUGAAGGGGGCGUAUCAAUUGAAAGGCUUUCAUCCUUGGUCAAAAAUCUUCCUCUGCCACAGUUUUCCACCGAGAGGUAUUUCAAGUUGUUCUAGCAUAGUCAGUGGCAUCUUUGAAGGCAGAAACCAGACAAGCCAUAGGAACCACCUGUGUCCAGCUUCGUGUCAUAGCAGCAACGGUUCCCCCUGCGACAGCACCAACAAUCAGACCAUUCACCCAAUCACUCUUUCCCCGAUAUCUUUGAAGCCCACAGUGAGUAGCAGUACAGAUUCCAGCAACAAGUCCAUAUUGAAAGCCACACGAGCUAGCCGACCUCGCCACAAAAGCGGCCUGAGCUACCCCUCCUAGGCCUUGUUUACGAGCCUCGUGGGGAGCGGAACACAAACCCCAAAUUGCACCAGACGUUCCGAUGUGGAGGAUAGAAUCAACGGCGAGAAAAGCAUCAGAUUGCAUCAGAUCGGCGAUGAUCUUGGUGCGGGGGAGGAAGGCGGCGGCGUGCUGGAGGUCGAGCAUCUCACCGCGGAGCUUCUCUGGUUUGGCGUUGACGAGGACGAGCUCGUUGGCCAGGUCCUGGGUGAGGAUGGUCUGAGCGAUGGCCUUUGAAGAAGGCCUGGGUUAGGUCGAGGCCGCUGGAGCCUAGCGAGCCUGGAGAGUGACGGAGAAAAAUGGAGGUGAACCGACGUCGUUUUGCGUUUGUUUUGUAAUUUGUCUUGCAACUGCUUCGGUGGCAUGCCUUGAAAUGUUGUUGCUGUAAAUUUGAACUUGAACAGGUUUGGAUUUGAAACCAUGUGCUCAGGUUCAAGCAGCUCAUCUUUCAGUGGCAAGAAAAAUCGAGCAAGUUCCCGGCCAAGGUUUCGACAAAUGAUCAAGGGGAAAAAUGAUAAAAGAUCUGGGUUUCAUCAAAGAAUUCAGCUGGUAUUGUUAAAGCGAAUUCGUGCUGAUAACGUGUUAUAAAUCUAGAAGAAAUUGUAGAGAGAAUUGAGGUAUAGAGAAAGAGUAGAAAUCUGAUCUUUAUUAAGAGUUUUCUCAAUCUCAUAUGUAUCUGUAUAUUUACAAAGAAAAGAGUGAACCAUUUUAUAGGCAAAGCCUCUUCCAACAUGUGGGGCUCCA
This is a long non-coding RNA of Prunus persica (peach), 1388 nucleotides long. RefSeq lists it as uncharacterized. The record is from RefSeq and is a predicted model, not a curated record. The transcript is spliced from 2 exons. Lineage: Eukaryota; Viridiplantae; Streptophyta; Magnoliopsida; Rosales; Rosaceae.